Molecule: ribosomal RNA, 633 nt
Filed under: Triticum aestivum (bread wheat)
Lineage: Eukaryota; Viridiplantae; Streptophyta; Magnoliopsida; Poales; Poaceae
Description: partial small subunit ribosomal RNA
Source: RNAcentral
AUGUACCUAAGAUGUGCAGUGCAUGAGUUUCCAGCAAAGUGGGCAUUGUGGCUUCCUCAGGCUGAAUUUUGGUAUAACACCUCAUAUCAUUCAUCACUGGGGUGUACACCUUACAAAGUCCUCUAUGGGUGUGCUCCUAACAUGGGACAGCUACUGGGACACCGAACCUCUCUCAACUCAGAUGUGAAUACUUGGCUGGCAGAUCAUACUCAACACACUACAGCACUCAAAGAGCACUUGACUAGAGCUCAGUGUAAAUACAAGCACUUUGCUGACAAAAAACGCUCUGAGAGAGAAUUUUCUGUCGGAGAGAUGGUGUACUUACGGUUACAGCCUUACACUCAGUCUACAGUAGUGAACCGGCCUUGCCGCAAGCUGGCACUGAAGUAUUUUGGGCCCUACAAAAUACUGGACAGGAUUGGAACAGUAGCUUAUCGUCUAGAAUUACUGCGAGGCAGUCAAGUGCACCCUGUUUUUCAUGUGUCACAACUGAAGAACCAUGUGCCAGAUCAUACACCAGUGUUUUCGUUGUUGCCUGUUCCGAUCGAUCUGCUGCUCCUGGUGUUUUUCCUGAAGAGAUUCUGGAUCGCUGUCUGGUCAAGAAGGGCAAGACCUCUCACUUGCAAGUGCUAA